GGGUGGCCAUGUUAACAGAACGUGGCUGCGAUUAUGGGUGCCCCUGAUGUGGCCUGCGCGCGUGCUUUCCGCAGGAUGCCGCGCGGCCGUCCGCACGACCACAGGGAGCAGCAGCGAACCGAUACGUUUCCUUUUGAACAUCAGCAGUUCAUCAGAUCGCAGGAGAUGCUAUCCAGCUCCAAGGUGAUGCUGAUUAAAGAAAUACAACAUCAAGCAUCAAGCCCUCUUUUCAAAAUGGUCUGAAUUCUGGGCAGUAAGACACAAAAGCGUCCUUAGACAUGAUAAAGACCCAGGGAGUCGUGGAGGGCAGAGGGGAAGGUCAGGGUCUCUAUCCUGGGGCCAAUCCAUCACCGAGAAACGGCACCGUCCAAUGAACAAGAAGCUCAGGAUGCCCUUAGCCAAUCGGAAUGGAUGAGCAGGGUGAUGGAGGCCAACGCCGGCUUUAUUCCCACUGAACCCCACGGCAGAGAAGGAUGGAGCCCUGAAGGUGUCAUUGCAGCCCACUGCUACAGAGGUGUCUGCUGACAGGCCCGGAGAAGCUGCCACACCCCGCCUAGGAGAUGAGGAACACACUCAGCCAGUCAAAACCGGCUCCGGCUGCUGCUUCUCGCUAACAUCUGUGAAAAUCCGUCUCAUGGAUAAGGGAAUAUCGACUCCCUUUUGAGCAGUGCACAGCUCUUUACAUAAGCUAUUUACAUACAUGUGAAGACUCUUAGCAAAUCAUUCAUAAUGCUUUUCUUCUUAUUUGUAAUAGUAUCUUCAUUUUCUUAAUUCUUCCAGCAUAAUGAAUCCUUUUGUUGCACUUUCAGACUAAAUAAAUUCGCUUGCACACAUUACAUUUAGUAAAUUAAGCAGUGUUGCAAUUAUCACAAAAUAUAAUUCACUCGUGACAAACUACCUUUUCAUCAAGGUCCCAGUUUUUUGUUUUUUUUUUACGCUACUCUUCAUAAUUUGUAUUCAGUUUCACACAUAAAGGCUAAUUUACUGACCUCGUCACCCAUCAAGGUAAAAGUCAGUACUGUGAUAAUAUACAAGAGUAUGCUUAGAUGUCACAUGAAAAAAGUCAAUCUAAUGCUUUUUUGCAUGCAAACCUGGAACAAAUUGGCAUUUUCAAAUGCUAAAUAUACAAGUAAUUGCCCCUGUGCAGCUGUACGCGGGACUUUGAAGUUGGGAGUAAUUGACUGAAAACUCCAGACAUUAACUAAUUGCUUUUUUCUGGCUGCUGUCUUCCCCAUGGUGUG
Long non-coding RNA from Brienomyrus brachyistius, 1241 nucleotides. RefSeq lists it as uncharacterized. The transcript is spliced from 5 exons. Lineage: Eukaryota; Metazoa; Chordata; Actinopteri; Osteoglossiformes; Mormyridae. The record is from RefSeq and is a predicted model, not a curated record.